AUUCUUGGACACUUUUGCCUACUCUGCUUCUCCAAGUCAAACUAUCUCCAGGACAGACCUCUGUAGCCAGGCCAUACAAGCGAAGGUUCUGAGAAAGGGGAGGGAAGCGAUAUUAAAGAACUCAGUAAAGCUUACCUCGGACAGAUGUUGAGACAGGGCUCCGCACUGCAGCCCUCCGCACUCAACAUCCCACUUCCUAAACAUUGUCAAGAAGCUUUGCAAAUUUCCUCAGAAGUUUCCUGGGAGCCCAUUCUCCAUCGAGAAACCAGUGCUGCACAGGAGGGGUCGGGGGCUCAUUUCGACCUCCAUUCAAAACGGUCGUCAGUUCAGUCCAGAUCCCAUCUUCGAUGACCUGGUCCUGGAGAUUUGUGGCAAGCACCUUUACUGGUGAAGUUCCCUCUGGCUUUACUAUAGCCUUUUAUACAAAGAAGUGGGCUGAGCACUCACACCUUCGUUUCCUGAGGUCCGGAUCUGUUUCUCCUGUCUCAAGGGCAGUAGCUAAAAUAAGCAGCACCUUCUGCUUGGUGUCAAGUGGACACUCUCACCACCUGCUUGGGCAUCUUUCUUGGCAUGCCCCACAUUCUGCUCCUCUGAUAGAGCUCUUUGGUC
Molecule: long non-coding RNA, 609 nt
Filed under: Mus spicilegus (steppe mouse)
Lineage: Eukaryota; Metazoa; Chordata; Mammalia; Rodentia; Muridae
Description: lncRNA (ENSMSIG00000025095.1)
Source: RNAcentral